This 634-nucleotide ribosomal RNA is filed under the name Halomonas sp. VP8-M21. RNAcentral describes it as "bacterial SSU rRNA". It matches the Rfam family "Bacterial small subunit ribosomal RNA", at positions 837 to 1479 of the family's 1533-position model. Lineage: Bacteria; Pseudomonadati; Pseudomonadota; Gammaproteobacteria; Oceanospirillales; Halomonadaceae. The record is from RNAcentral.
GAACUUUAGGCGCAUUUAACGCGAAAAUCGACCGUAUGGGGAAUUCGGCCGCAAGGUAAAACUCAAAUGAAUGACGGGGGCCCGCACAAGCGGUGGAGCAUGUGGUUUAAUUCGAUGCAACGCGAAGAACCUUACCUACCCUUGACAUCGAGAGAACUUGGCAGAGAUGCCUUGGUGCCUUCGGGAACUCUCAGACAGGUGCUGCAUGGCCGUCGUCAGCUCGUGUUGUGAAAUGUUGGGUUAAGUCCCGUAACGAGCGCAACCCUUGUCCCUAUUUGCCAGCGAUUCGGUCGGGAACUCUAGGGAGACUGCCGGUGACAAACCGGAGGAAGGUGGGGACGACGUCAGGUCAUCAUGGCCCUUACGGGUAGGGCUACACACGUGCUACAAUGGCCGGUACAAAGGGUUGCGAAGCCGCGAGGUGGAGCCAAUCCCGAAAAGCCGGUCUCAGUCCGGAUCGGAGUCUGCAACUCGACUCCGUGAAGUCGGAAUCGCUAGUAAUCGUGAAUCAGAAUGUCACGGUGAAUACGUUCCCGGGCCUUGUACACACCGCCCGUCACACCAUGGGAGUGGACUGCACCAGAAGUGGUUAGCCUAACUUCGGAGGGCGACACCACGGUGUGUCAUAUUUGUU